GUACCCUCAAGCUCUGCUUGGUGUUGGGUGUUUGUCCUUGCCACUGCGUUUGGACUCACCUCAAAGCAAUUGGCAGCCAGUGUAUUGGUUUUAAGCGCAGCACAUUUUGCGUCUUACUCCCUGUAACACUUGCGUCCAUCAAGCCUUUUUAUCAC
Molecule: unclassified non-coding RNA, 155 nt
Filed under: uncultured Phaeosphaeriaceae
Lineage: Eukaryota; Fungi; Ascomycota; Dothideomycetes; Pleosporales; Phaeosphaeriaceae
Description: sequence contains ITS2
Source: RNAcentral